GUUUUAUUGAGAGUUUGAUCUUGGCUCAGGACGAACGCUGGCGGCGUGCCUAAUACAUGCAAGUCGAGCGCGGGAAGCUAACUGAAUCCUUCGGGAGGACGUUAGUGGAACGAGCGGCGGACGGGUGAGUAACACGUGGGCAACCUGCCUGUAAGACUGGGAUAACUCCGGGAAACCGGGGCUAAUACCGGAUAAUACUUCUCCUCACAUGAGGGAAAGUUGAAAGGUGGCUU
This 233-nucleotide ribosomal RNA is filed under the name Gracilibacillus ureilyticus. Its description in RNAcentral is "16S rRNA. Bacterial SSU". It matches the Rfam family "Bacterial small subunit ribosomal RNA", at positions 1 to 214 of the family's 1533-position model. Lineage: Bacteria; Bacillati; Bacillota; Bacilli; Caryophanales; Bacillaceae. The record is from RNAcentral.